ACAUCCAGAGAACUUAGCAGAGAUGCUUUGGUGCCUUCGGGAACUCUGAGACAGGUGCUGCAUGGCUGUCGUCAGCUCGUGUUGUGAAAUGUUGGGUUAAGUCCCGNAACGAGCGCAACCCUUUAUCCUUUGUUGCCAGCGGUUCGGCCGGGAACUCAAAGGAGACUGCCGGUGAUAAACCGGAGGAAGGUGGGGAUGACGUCAAGUCAUCAUGGCCCUUACGGCCAGGGCUACACACGUGCUACAAUGGCGCAUACAAAGAGAAGCGACCUCGCGAGAGCAAGCGGACCUCAUAAAGUGCGUCGUAGUCCGGAUUGGAGUCUGCAACUCGACUCCAUGAAGUCGGAAUCGCUAGUAAUCGUAGAUCAGAAUGCUACGGUGAAUACGUUCCCGGGCCUUGUACACACCGCCCGUCACACCAUGGGAGUGGGUUGCAAAAGAAGUAGGUAGCUUAACCUUCGGGAGGGCGCUUACCACUUUGUGAUUCAUGACUGGGGUGAAGUCGUAACAAGGUAAGCGUAGCGAG
Molecule: ribosomal RNA, 526 nt
Filed under: uncultured bacterium
Lineage: Bacteria
Description: bacterial SSU rRNA
Rfam family: Bacterial small subunit ribosomal RNA
Source: RNAcentral